Molecule: non-coding RNA, 31 nt
Filed under: Mus musculus (house mouse)
Lineage: Eukaryota; Metazoa; Chordata; Mammalia; Rodentia; Muridae
Source: RNAcentral
UGCAUUGAUUAAUGAUGCCUGAAUACUCGUU